Molecule: long non-coding RNA, 1155 nt
Filed under: Nothobranchius furzeri (turquoise killifish)
Lineage: Eukaryota; Metazoa; Chordata; Actinopteri; Cyprinodontiformes; Nothobranchiidae
Description: lncRNA (ENSNFUG00015019480.1)
Source: RNAcentral
AUGCUCCAUAUUGCUCCAAGUACAGGGCGAGGAGGAGGAGUAGCGGCCAUUUUUCAUUCAGACCUAUUAAUCAAUCCCUUACCAAUUAAUAGUUACAGUUCUUUUGAACAUCUUAUUCUUAGUUCUCCUGAUCCAGAUUGCAAAACUGUAAAACCACUCUUGUUUGUAGUUUUAUAUCGUCCACCAGGCCCUUACUCUGAGUUUUUGGAUCAGAUCUCUGAUUUUUUAUCUGAUUUGGUGCUAAAUACUGAUAAGGUCAUUGUAGUGGGGGAUUUUAACAUUCAUGUGGACAUUGAAAAUGAUAGCCUCAAUGUAGCCUUUAGUAAUAUCUUAGACUCAAUUGGUUUUACUCAAAGAAUACAUAGCUCCACCCACUCCUGCCAUCAUAGAUUGGACGUUGUGCUGACUUAUGGCAUAGAGUGUGAGGAAAUAACGAUCUUUUCACAUAAUCCAGUCCUCUCGGACCACUUUUUGAUAACCUUUGAGUUUUUUAUAACUGAGUUCUCGAGACAUGAAAGUAAAUUUCACUAUAGUCUCUAUCUAUCUGACAACGCUGUUGCAUCUUUUAAAUCAACUGUUCCAUCUUUACUGUCCUCAGCAUCUCAGAGGCAUGUAGCAGAGGGCAAUAUUUUCAGUUCUAGCCCCUCACAAAUUGAUGCUUUAGUUCAUAAUGUUACUUCUUCUUUACGUGUGGCAUUAGAUGAUGUUGCCCCUUUAAAAAAGAAGGUAAUUAGGCACUGGAAGUUGGCCCCCUGGUUUAAUUCUCAUUUACAAACAUUAAAACAAAACUCUAGAAAAUUGGAGAGAACAUGGCAUCCUACACACAAGGAGGAGUCCUACUUUUCCUGGAAAAAUAGUCUUGUGCUUUAUAAAAAUAAACUUCGACAAGCUAGAACUGCUUAUUUUUCAUCGCUAAUUGAGGAGAAUAAGAAUAAUACAAAAUUUAUUUUCAGUACAGUUGCCAAACUUACAGAGAAUCAUAGCUAUGAACCAUCUAUUCCCUUAGCCCUCAGCAGCAACGACUUUACGGGAUUUUUCACGAGUAAAAUUAAUUCUAUUCUAGUUUAUUUCAGUCAAUCAAUCAAUCAAUCAAUCAAUCAAAGCUUUAUUCAUAAAGCGCCUUCCGCGAUCCUGUCGGGAAGCCCAAGGCGCUGA